This is a non-coding RNA of Solanum tuberosum (potato), 85 nucleotides long. NCBI's taxonomy places the organism in Eukaryota, Viridiplantae, Streptophyta, Magnoliopsida, Solanales, Solanaceae. The record is from Rfam.
UGCAGUCACUGAUGAAUUUUUCCCAUAAUUGCUGAUUGACCAGUGAUUAAUAUAAAAAUAUCACUAUCUUUCGGCUGGGAUUGCA